GGCACAGUGGUGCAGUGGGUAGCACUGUUGCCUCACAGCAAGAAGGUCCUGUGUUUGAGUCCUGGCCUGGGCCU
This 74-nucleotide transfer RNA is filed under the name Anguilla anguilla (European eel). Its description in RNAcentral is "tRNA-OTHER". Lineage: Eukaryota; Metazoa; Chordata; Actinopteri; Anguilliformes; Anguillidae. The record is from RNAcentral.